Parasteatoda tepidariorum (common house spider) is the source of this 399-nucleotide non-coding RNA. NCBI's taxonomy places the organism in Eukaryota, Metazoa, Arthropoda, Arachnida, Araneae, Theridiidae. The record is from RefSeq and is a predicted model, not a curated record.
GAAAUAAUAUUUUUGCAAGUCGCGCUUCCAGUUGCUGCACACUUCUCAACUCUACAAAUUUACUGAUUUUAUUGAUUCUUCUUGUCUGAUUCUGUUUUUCGUAGAAUUGAAGUAUUAUUAUAAGAAAAAUUCAGUAUAAUAAGACUUAAGUUUUAUUGAAAUACAUUCUUUGUUUAAAGAAUGGCUGCCCACAAGACAUUUAAAAUAAAGCAGAAGUUGGCAAAAAAGAUGAAGCAGAACAGACCAAUUCCACAAUGGAUUCGAAUGAAGACUGGCAACACUAUCAGGUACAAUGCCAAGCGUCGCCACUGGAGAAGAACUAAGCUAAAGUUGUAAAUUUCUUUGCAAGGUCUACAUUGUAUCAUAUGCUAUAUCUAAAUAAAAUCACAUAAAUCACAA